AGAGUUUGAUCAUGGCUCAGAUUGAACGCUGGCGGUAGGCUUAACACAUGCAAGUCGAGCGGAAACGAUGGUAGCUUGCUAUCAGGCGUCGAGCGGCGGACGGGUGAGUAACGCGUAGGAAUCUGCCUAGUAGUGGGGGACAACCUGUGGAAACGCAGGCUAAUACCGCAUAAUCCCUGAGGGGGAAAGGAGGGGAUCUUCGGACCUUUCGCUAUUAGAUGAGCCUGCGUGAGAUUAGCUAGUUGGUGAGGUAAAGGCUCACCAAGGCGACGAUCUCUAGCUGGUCUGAGAGGAUGAUCAGCCACACUGGGACCGAGACACGGCCCAGACUCCUACGGGAGGCAGCAGUGGGGAAUAUUGGACAAUGGGCGCAAGCCUGAUCCAGCCAUACCGCGUGUGUGAAGAAGGCCUUAGGGUUGUAAAGCACUUUCAGAAGGGAGGAAAGGUUGAUGUUUAAUACGCAUUAGCUGUGACGUUACCUUCAGAAGAAGCACCGGCUAACUCUGUGCCAGCAGCCGCGGUAAUACAGAGGGUGCAAGCGUUAAUCGGAAUUACUGGGCGUAAAGCGCGCGUAGGUGGUUUGUUAAGUCGGAUGUGAAAGCCCAGGGCUCAACCUUGGAAUUGCACCCGAUACUGGCAGGCUAGAGUACGAUAGAGGAGUGUGGAAUUUCCUGUGUAGCGGUGAAAUGCGUAGAUAUAGGAAGGAACAUCAGUGGCGAAGGCGACACUCUGGAUUGAUACUGACACUGAGGUGCGAAAGCGUGGGGAGCAAACAGGAUUAGAUACCCUGUAGUCCACGCCGUAAACGAUGUCUACUGGCCGUUGGGUUGUAAUGACUUAGUGGCGAAGCUAACGCGAUAAGUAGACCGCCUGGGGAGUACGGCCGCAAGGUUAAAACUCAAAGGAAUUGACGGG
This 915-nucleotide ribosomal RNA is filed under the name uncultured bacterium. RNAcentral describes it as "bacterial SSU rRNA". It matches the Rfam family "Bacterial small subunit ribosomal RNA", at positions 8 to 917 of the family's 1533-position model. The record is from RNAcentral.